Molecule: ribosomal RNA, 429 nt
Filed under: uncultured bacterium
Lineage: Bacteria
Also listed under: 2 other names
Description: bacterial SSU rRNA
Rfam family: Bacterial small subunit ribosomal RNA
Source: RNAcentral
UGGGGAAUCUUCCGCAAUGGACGAAAGUCUGACGGAGCAACGCCGCGUGAACGAUGACGGCCUUCGGGUUGUAAAGUUCUGUUAUACGGGACGAAUGGCGUAGCGGUCAAUACCCGUUACGAGUGACGGUACCGUAAGAGAAAGCCACGGCUAACUACGUGCCAGCAGCCGCGGUAAUACGUAGGUGGCAAGCGUUGUCCGGAAUUAUUGGGCGUAAAGGGCGCGCAGGCGGCGUCGUAAGUCGGUCUUAAAAGUGCGGGGCUUAACCCCGUGAGGGGACCGAAACUGCGAUGCUAGAGUAUCGGAGAGGAAAGCGGAAUUCCUAGUGUAGCGGUGAAAUGCGUAGAUAUUAGGAGGAACACCAGUGGCGAAAGCGGCUUUCUGGACGACAACUGACGCUGAGGCGCGAAAGCCAGGGGAGCAAACGGG